ACGACCAUACCUACCAGAAAAUACGGGAUCCCGUCCGCUCUCCCAUGGUCAAGCUGGUAAGGGGCGGAUUAGUAGUUGGGUCGGUGACGACCAGCGAAUCCCCGCUGUUGUAUGUC
Molecule: ribosomal RNA, 116 nt
Filed under: Fusarium verticillioides 7600
Lineage: Eukaryota; Fungi; Ascomycota; Sordariomycetes; Hypocreales; Nectriaceae
Source: RNAcentral